RNAcentral lists this long non-coding RNA (325 nucleotides) under Daucus carota (carrot). RNAcentral describes it as "long non-coding RNA (DCAR_LNC006997)". Lineage: Eukaryota; Viridiplantae; Streptophyta; Magnoliopsida; Apiales; Apiaceae. The record is from RNAcentral.
CCAGGAGACAUGGGGAGCAUAAAUAUGCACACAUAUUUAUCUUUAAAUUCUUCAUGAAAACCCUGUAAAUGGAGGUGGUCCAAAUGAAUUAAAAUGUCAAAAGGUGAAACAUAAUUAAAAAGAAAAGGUGAAGUAGAAUAAAUCAGGAAAUAAAAGAUAGAGAGGGUCAGUUAUGUACAACCUUGAUGAUAGAAGGAUCAACUCUCUCGUCCUCAUCUAAAAUAAUGUUCUCCAAAAUAACCUCAUCUCCGGGGGUUACUUUGAGAGUGAUUGGCAUUAAUCCCAUGAGGAUGUUUUUAAAACUACAAUCUGGCGUUAUAAAUUU